Molecule: ribosomal RNA, 253 nt
Filed under: uncultured bacterium
Lineage: Bacteria
Description: partial 16S ribosomal RNA
Rfam family: Bacterial small subunit ribosomal RNA
Source: RNAcentral
UACGAAGGGGGCUAGCGUUGCUCGGAAUUACUGGGCGUAAAGCGCACGUAGGCGGCUUUCUAAGUCGGGGGUGAAAUCCUGGAGCUCAACUCCAGAACUGCCUUCGAUACUGGAAAGCUCGAGUCCGGGAGAGGUGAGUGGAACUGCGAGUGUAGAGGUGAAAUUCGUAGAUAUUCGCAAGAACACCAGUGGCGAAGGCGGCUCACUGGCCCGGUACUGACGCUGAGGUGCGAAAGCGUUGGGAGCAAACAGG